This 644-nucleotide long non-coding RNA is filed under the name Monodelphis domestica (gray short-tailed opossum). RNAcentral describes it as "lncRNA (ENSMODG00000037589.1)". Lineage: Eukaryota; Metazoa; Chordata; Mammalia; Didelphimorphia; Didelphidae. The record is from RNAcentral.
AAAUUCAUACCUCCCUAGUAUCUUGGACAAAGAAGUGUGUCACAGCAGUCCCUGUAAGGCCCUGGCUAAUGAAGACCACCACCCAGAACAAAUGGACUGCCCCUUGAGAUGAGAAGGCUCAAGUAGGGAAAGGAAGAAAAAUCUAUUUGGAAAUGAAUAUGAUGUAAAAACAGAAGGGACUGAUAAAGCAUUAUGAAGAAAAAAGAAAUAGGCUUUUAUUUGGAAUCUACUUUCAAAGAAUCAUGAUUAUGGGAAAACCACCCACUGCCAUCAGACAAGAAAAACAGCCCUUAGAAUUGUUAUUCCCAUACACCUUCCAGUCGAAAACAGUCCACUGUUUUCAAGGACCAGUUUGCACAGAGUUCUGCUUCUGGGUUGGACUUGACUUAUUCAACAAACAUUUAAGGUUCUACUGUAUGACUCUAGGCACUGGAGCUAAGGAUACUGACACCUAAUGGGAAUUGGUGGUGUCUGAGAUAGAGUACAUGCAACAUGUGCUGCCUCUCACCAAUUCAAGUAGAAGCUUAAUGAGCUUGCUUCCAGGCAUUCAUAUUAAAGGGACCCUUUCCCCAAUUCCUACCAUAUAGAGGUAUUCUGACUCGUACUGGCUUAGUCUAUGGGCAUGAAAGCCUUUUCAAUUGACU